AGGGCCUCCGUUAGGUGACCUGCGGAGGGACAUUA
RNAcentral lists this ribosomal RNA (35 nucleotides) under Alternaria sp. Abs. RNAcentral describes it as "partial 18S ribosomal RNA". The record is from RNAcentral. Lineage: Eukaryota; Fungi; Ascomycota; Dothideomycetes; Pleosporales; Pleosporaceae.